Molecule: transfer RNA, 91 nt
Filed under: Candidatus Uhrbacteria bacterium
Lineage: Bacteria; Candidatus Uhriibacteriota
Description: tRNA-Ser
Rfam family: tRNA
About the family: Transfer RNA (tRNA) molecules are approximately 80 nucleotides in length. Their secondary structure includes four short double-helical elements and three loops (D, anti-codon, and T loops).
Source: RNAcentral
GGAGGGGUGCGUGAGAUGGCUGAAACGACGGCUCUCGAAAAGCCGCAGGGCAGCAAUGCCCUCGAGGGUUCGAAUCCCUCCCCCUCCGCCA